GGAAUCUUGCACAAUGGGCGAAAGCCUGAUGCAGCGACGCCGCGUGGGGGAUGAAGGUCUUAGGGUCGUAAACCCCUUUCAGCAGGGACGAAAAUGACGGUACCUGCAGAAGAAGCCCCGGCCAACUACGUGCCAGCAGCCGCGGUAAGACGUAGGGGGCGAGCGUUGUCCGGAUUUAUUGGGCGUAAAGAGCUCGUAGGCGGUUGCGUAAGUCGGAUGUGAAAACUCAGGGCUCAACCCUGAGACGCCAUCCGAUACUGCGCUGACUUGAAUCCAGUAGGGGAGUGUGGAAUUCCUGGUGUAGCGGUGAAAUGCGCAGAUAUCAGGAGGAACACCCAUGGCGAAGGCAGCACUCUGGGCUGGUAUUGACGCUGAGGAGCGAAAGCCAGGGGAGCAAACGGGAUUAGAUACCCAGGUAGUCCCUGAGCGGGCUGGCAAGGCGCAU
RNAcentral lists this ribosomal RNA (445 nucleotides) under uncultured bacterium. RNAcentral describes it as "bacterial SSU rRNA". It matches the Rfam family "Bacterial small subunit ribosomal RNA", at positions 358 to 825 of the family's 1533-position model. The record is from RNAcentral.